UUGACCUCGGAUCAGGUAGGAAUACCCGCUGAACUUAACUUAAGCAUA
This 48-nucleotide ribosomal RNA is filed under the name Xylaria sp. R22. RNAcentral describes it as "partial 28S ribosomal RNA". The record is from RNAcentral. Lineage: Eukaryota; Fungi; Ascomycota; Sordariomycetes; Xylariales; Xylariaceae.